GUAUAUAUGACAAUUGAAUUCUUAUGGAAUUCUUAAUAAAAUUGAGAUUCGUAAGUUCUUCUGGAACUAAGAUCAUAAUAAACAGUGAGACUUCUUAAUAGUGAAUUCUUCCGGAAUUCAUGAUGGAAAAAAUUGAGUUUUCUAUGUUUUUCAGGAACUAGAUAAUAUAUUUUAACAAUAAAAUUAAUUCUCUAAUCAAUCCUUCAAGGAUUAACCAUUUUGAAUUCUUCUGGAAUUCACAUAGCAUAAUGUUGAGUUCUUCCGCAACUACCCUUUUGAAUUCUUCAGGAAUUCAUAGAGAAUAAUGAGUUGCUUUUGAAUUCUUCAGUUCUUCAGGAAUUGUAUAAUAAUAAUAAUAAUAAUAUCUUGUGCAAUCCUUCAGGGAUGCAUGAAU
Molecule: long non-coding RNA, 394 nt
Filed under: Trifolium pratense (red clover)
Lineage: Eukaryota; Viridiplantae; Streptophyta; Magnoliopsida; Fabales; Fabaceae
Description: long non-coding RNA (TPRA_LNC006698)
Source: RNAcentral